UUCCAUCUCUUCUCCCCAACCCAACUCUCCUCUCCUUCUCUUUUGCGAGAUCUCUAGAUUCUAGGGUUUGGGAUCUAUAAUUUGUGGCUACGAUUUUUGGGAUUCGUGUCAUUUGAUCUGGAUUUUGAGAUGCUCCUAGAUUGGUUGAGAUUAGUUUGAUUUUGGAGCGUCCUGCUAAAUUAUUAGGGUCUUGGUUUUGUUUUUGAUGGAUUUGCUAUAUCGGGAGAUGUAUCAUUGGAUUGUUGAUGUUAGGGUGUAGGUGAUUUUAAUGGUAGAUCUUUCGAUUGGCUGUUAAUGAGCAUAGUAGAGAAAAUGAAUGGACGAUCUUUUCUUUUAAUUCGCUCUUUGUGAUUUGCUUUGUGCAAGGAAAGCUAAUGUUAUGCCUUAUAAGCCUCAAGCUAUUCUUAAGUAUUUCGAGGGAAAAAGGAAAAUUGAGUAUUUCUUUAUGCCAUGCAGACUAUAUUGCUUUAUCUUCUCAUCUUUGAUGCAUAAUAUAAGUUUUCACAAAACAUAUUCAUUUAUUCUUUUUUAUUUCUUACUUUUGGAAAGUGGUUUUUUAUCAAUUUUUAAUAUCAAACUAUAUUGCCGACAAGAAGUUACUCUUAUUGAUACUAAUUUUCCUUACCAGAUUUGGACUUUCUGUUCCACAUGUUUUUCCUUGCACGAUACUGCAAAAUACUUGAGGAAAACUCAUUCAGGGGACGGAUUGCGGAUUUUUUCUACAUGCUCUUAUUCGGUGCCACUGUUCUCACUGGGAGGAUGAUACCAUAUAUUUCUGAGACUUUUGCCAAAAUUUUUUUCCUUAGCAACUCAUUGACUUUCAUGAUGGUUAGUCAUCCUGUACAGCAUCUACCAUUCGCCCUAUUUAACCCUUGACGCAUGCUUCAGUCCAUGUGUGGAGCAAACAUAACCUUUCAUCCACAUGAGUUUCUUGGGCCUUUUUACCUUCACUGCAACUUAUCUACCAUGGGUGCUUCUUGGGUUCUCAAUUCUUGUUGGUAGCAGUACAUGGGUGGAUCUCUUGGUAAGCUACUUUUAAGGUCUGAGAUAGUUGUUACCUGUAAUCAUUGAGAAAAUUUUAUUUGACGACUUGGUAACAAAUAUGAAGUUAGAGACAGUUUGUCGAAAAUGAAGUAGAAGAUAUAACUGUCAAUAGGUUACUGAUUCGAACUAACUGUCUUAUUUGAAGGUGGGAAUUUUUUUUUUAGCUUGUUCAUAACUGCAGUUCUGGGACAAUAAUUGUAUGUAAAGUCUAGUAUUACUUGAUAAUGCAGCUAAAUGUAGUGAUUACACAUUCAAUUUAA
Ananas comosus (pineapple) is the source of this 1304-nucleotide long non-coding RNA. RefSeq lists it as uncharacterized. The transcript has 3 exons. The record is from RefSeq and is a predicted model, not a curated record. Lineage: Eukaryota; Viridiplantae; Streptophyta; Magnoliopsida; Poales; Bromeliaceae.